ACGGAAGGCAGCAGUGGGGAAUAUUGGACAAUGGGGGAAACCCUGACCCAGCGACGCCGCGUGAGUGAAGAAGUAUUUCGGUAUGUAAAGCUCUAUCAGCAGGGAAGAUAAUGACGGUACCUGACUAAGAAGCCCCGGCUAACUACGUGCCAGCAGCCGCGGUAAUACGUAGGGGGCAAGCGUUAUCCGGAUUUACUGGGUGUAAAGGGAGCGUAGACGGAAGGCCAAGUCUGAUGUGAAAACCCAGGGCUCAACCCUGGGACUGCAUUGGAAACUGGUCAUCUAGAGUGCAGGAGGGGUAAGCGGAAUUCCUAGUGUAGCGGUGAAAUGCGUAGAUAUUAGGAGGAACACCAGUGGCGAAGGCGGCUUACUGGACUGUAACUGACGUUGAGGCUCGAAAGCGUGGGGAGCAAACAGGAUUAGAUACCCUGGUA
This 434-nucleotide ribosomal RNA is filed under the name uncultured Lachnospiraceae bacterium. Its description in RNAcentral is "partial 16S ribosomal RNA". It matches the Rfam family "Bacterial small subunit ribosomal RNA", at positions 341 to 792 of the family's 1533-position model. The record is from RNAcentral. Lineage: Bacteria; Bacillati; Bacillota; Clostridia; Lachnospirales; Lachnospiraceae.